RNAcentral lists this transfer RNA (83 nucleotides) under Candidatus Woesearchaeota archaeon. RNAcentral's name for it is "tRNA-Leu". It matches the Rfam family "tRNA". From Rfam's summary of the family: Transfer RNA (tRNA) molecules are approximately 80 nucleotides in length. Their secondary structure includes four short double-helical elements and three loops (D, anti-codon, and T loops). Further hydrogen bonds mediate the characteristic L-shaped molecular structure. tRNAs have two regions of fundamental functional importance: the anti-codon, which is responsible for specific mRNA codon recognition, and the 3' end, to which the tRNAs corresponding amino acid is attached (by aminoacyl-tRNA synthetases). tRNAs cope with the degeneracy of the genetic code in two manners: having more than one tRNA (with a specific anti-codon) for a particular amino acid; and 'wobble' base-pairing, i.e. permitting non-standard base-pairing at the 3rd anti-codon position. The record is from RNAcentral. Lineage: Archaea; Nanobdellati; Candidatus Woesearchaeota.
GCGGGGGUGCCGGAGUGGCCAAACGGGCCAGGCUUAGGACCUGGUGGCUCAGGCCUACGCAGGUUCGAAUCCUGUCCCCCGCA